AGAGUUUGAUCCUGGCUCAGGAUGAACGCUGGCGGCGUGCUUAACACAUGCAAGUCGAACGAAGCAACUAUCUUGCUUGCAAGAGAGUUGACUUAGUGGCGGACGGGUGAGUAACGCGUGGGUAACCUGCCUCAUACAGGGGGAUAACAGUUGGAAACGACUGCUAAGACCGCAUAACCCGCUAGUGUCGCAUGACACGGACGGAAAAUAUUUAUAGGUAUGAGAUGGGCCCGCGUCUGAUUAGCUAGUUGGUAAGGUAACGGCUUACCAAGGCGACGAUCAGUAGCCGACUUGAGAGAGUGAUCGGCCACAUUGGGACUGAGACACGGCCCAAACUCCUACGGGAGGCAGCAGUGGGGAAUAUUGGACAAUGGGGGAAACCCUGAUCCAGCGAACCGCCGCGUGAGUGAAGAAGUAUUUCGGUAUGUAAAGCUCUAUCAGCAGGGAAGAUAAUGACAGUACCUGACUAAGAAGCCCCGGCUAACUACGUGCCAGCCGCAGC
This 502-nucleotide ribosomal RNA is filed under the name uncultured bacterium. RNAcentral's name for it is "bacterial SSU rRNA". It matches the Rfam family "Bacterial small subunit ribosomal RNA", at positions 8 to 518 of the family's 1533-position model. The record is from RNAcentral.